CAGCGCCUCCUGCUCCGCCCACUCACCCCGCCACGUGGUGGCCGGGUAAGGGCCUCGGGGCAGCAU
This 66-nucleotide microRNA precursor is filed under the name Oryza rufipogon (brownbeard rice). RNAcentral's name for it is "pre miRNA MIR2907". It matches the Rfam family "MIR2907 microRNA precursor family". Lineage: Eukaryota; Viridiplantae; Streptophyta; Magnoliopsida; Poales; Poaceae. RNAcentral also lists the same sequence under 1 other name. The record is from RNAcentral.